UACAGAGGGUGCAAGCGUUGUUCGGAAUUAUUGGGCGUAAAGCGCGUGUAGGCGGCAUGGCAAGUCGGGUGUGAAAGCCCUCAGCUUAACUGAGGAAGUGCGCCCGAAACUGCCGUGCUUGAGUGCCGGAGAGGGUGGCGGAAUUCCCCAAGUAGAGGUGAAAUUCGUAGAUAUGGGGAGGAACACCGGUGGCGAAGGCGGCCAACUGGACGAAUACUGACGCUGAGACUCGAAAGCGUGGGGAGCAAACAGG
This 253-nucleotide ribosomal RNA is filed under the name uncultured bacterium. RNAcentral describes it as "partial 16S ribosomal RNA". It matches the Rfam family "Bacterial small subunit ribosomal RNA", at positions 524 to 776 of the family's 1533-position model. The record is from RNAcentral.